RNAcentral lists this ribosomal RNA (305 nucleotides) under uncultured bacterium. RNAcentral's name for it is "bacterial SSU rRNA". It matches the Rfam family "Bacterial small subunit ribosomal RNA", at positions 333 to 655 of the family's 1533-position model. The record is from RNAcentral.
UUAAUCCUCGGGGCGCAGCAGUGGGGAAUAUUGGGCAAUGGGCGCAAGCCUGACCCAGCAACGCCGCGUGAAGGAAGAAGGCUUUCGGGUUGUAAACUUCUUUUAAGAGGGAAGAGCAGAAGACGGUGCCUCUUGAAUAAGCCACGGCUAACUACGUGCCAGCAGCCGCGGUAAUACGUAGGUGGCGAGCGUUAUCCGGAAUGAUUGGGCGUAAAGGGUGCGUAGGCGGCCUGCUAAGUCUGGAGUGAAAGGUACCGGCUCAACCGGUACAGGCUCUGGAAACUGGCGGGCUAGAGAGCAGGAGG